CUACGGGUUGCACCAGUGAGGAAUAUUGCACAAUGGGGGGAACCCUGAUGCAGCAACGCCGCGUGGAGGAUGACGCAUUUCGGUGUGUAAACUCCUUUUAUAUGUCAAGAAAAUGACGGUAGCAUAUGAAUAAGCACCGGCUAACUCCGUGCCAGCAGCCGCGGUAAUACGGAGGGUGCAAGCGUUACUCGGAAUCACUGGGCGUAAAGGACGCGUAGGCGGGCUUGUAAGUCAGGUGUGAAAUCCUACAGCUUAACUGUAGAACUGCACUUGAAACUACGAGCCUAGAGUAUGGGAGGGGCAGAUGGAAUUAGUGGUGUAGGGGUAAAAUCCGUAGAUAUCACUAGGAAUACCUAAAGCGAAGGCGAUCUGCUGGAACAUAACUGACGCUAAGGCGUGAAAGCGUGGGGAGCAAACAGGAUUAGAUACCCGGGUAGUC
This 439-nucleotide ribosomal RNA is filed under the name uncultured bacterium. RNAcentral describes it as "partial 16S ribosomal RNA". It matches the Rfam family "Bacterial small subunit ribosomal RNA", at positions 339 to 795 of the family's 1533-position model. The record is from RNAcentral.